GGUCUUUUUUGUGGUCAUUGGUCAAGAGAUCGAAUGGCUCAGAUGGUUAGCUUAUGCCUCCGCUUUCGCAUACGUGAGGUAUUGUCCGCUUUGACUCAUGACCAUCUUUAGACUUUAGUGGGCUUUUAGGCUUCAAUAGGCCUUGAUCAUUUAGAGCCUCACGGUUUUGUCCUUUAAAAGAGGCUUCACGUUGGGAGAGAAGGUUCC
This 207-nucleotide long non-coding RNA is filed under the name Elaeis guineensis (African oil palm). RNAcentral describes it as "long non-coding RNA (EGUI_LNC035285)". Lineage: Eukaryota; Viridiplantae; Streptophyta; Magnoliopsida; Arecales; Arecaceae. The record is from RNAcentral.